GUGUCAGCAGCCGCGGUAAUACGGAGGGUGCGAGCGUUGUUCGGAAUUACUGGGCGUAAAGCGCGUGUAGGCGGCCUUGCAAGUCAGGCGUGAAAGCCCUCGGCUUAACCGGGGAAGUGCGUCUGAAACUGCUUGGCUUGAGUACGGGAGAGGGAGGCGGAAUUCCCAGUGUAGAGGUGAAAUUCGUAGAUAUUGGGAGGAACACCGGUGGCGAAAGCGGCCUCCUGGACCGAUACUGACGCUGAGACGCGAAAGCGUGGGGAGCAAACAGGAUUAGAAACCCGAGUAGUCC
RNAcentral lists this ribosomal RNA (292 nucleotides) under uncultured bacterium. RNAcentral's name for it is "partial 16S ribosomal RNA". It matches the Rfam family "Bacterial small subunit ribosomal RNA", at positions 505 to 796 of the family's 1533-position model. The record is from RNAcentral.